CUUUCUUUCCUUGCACCCUGUUCCUUUGCCCCACAUUCAGUGUGAAAACUCACAGACAUGAGCAGCCCCUGAUGACUUCUUUCUGUACCCUUGGAUCCAUUUGGAUCGGAGCACCUGGAUAGGAGCAGGAGCCAGAGGGAACCUCUUAGCUGCUGGCAGGAGGCUUGGAAGCCCAGCAGCUUUGAUUACGGAAGAGAGGCCUGUGGGAAUCCUGGAGGAGCUGCUCCUUGAAAGUAUAUGGGGAAGUGGAUCUAAGUGGCCCCGGGGGAGAACACAGGCAUGUUCUCCCAGACUCCUUCCAGGAAGAACUAGCUCUGAGGCAGAGUACAGUCAGCAGAGAGCUUCCAGCUUUCAGCUCUGCCUCAGCGGCAGAGUCAGCUCGAAUUCCCACCAUUCCUGGGGAUGCCUGCAUUUACCUGGUUGCUGAGUGACACUGAUGGGUAUACUCACUCCAG
RNAcentral lists this long non-coding RNA (455 nucleotides) under Homo sapiens (human). Its description in RNAcentral is "HSALNT0181247". Lineage: Eukaryota; Metazoa; Chordata; Mammalia; Primates; Hominidae. The record is from RNAcentral.